This is a long non-coding RNA of Lepidothrix coronata (blue-crowned manakin), 332 nucleotides long. RefSeq lists it as uncharacterized. Lineage: Eukaryota; Metazoa; Chordata; Aves; Passeriformes; Pipridae. The record is from RefSeq and is a predicted model, not a curated record. The transcript has 3 exons.
GGGGAAGUGGAGGGGCAGGCACUGAUCUCUUUUCUCUGGUGACCAGCAACAGAACCCAAGGAAAUGGCAUGAAGCUGGAAAGCUGUGCAGCGCUCAAGACGCAAGAAAGACAUUUUUUACUCUGGCACAAGGAAGACCUCUGCAAGUGGAACAGGAUGGGAUCCAGGCACUUAGCACAGUGAGGAAAAAUAUCACAUGGAAGAAAAACACUCGGAACAAUAUUGCAUCCAUUCUUCUCACUGAAUUGAGGACUACCUGAUCUAGUUGAAGAUGUCUCUGCUAAUUGCGGGGGGUUGGACUAGAUGACCUUUAAAUGUCCCUUCCAACCCAAA